UGUUCAAGUAUAACUUGCAAUGUGGGAGGCCC
RNAcentral lists this non-coding RNA (32 nucleotides) under Mus musculus (house mouse). The record is from RNAcentral. Lineage: Eukaryota; Metazoa; Chordata; Mammalia; Rodentia; Muridae.